AACCAUAGAAACCUGCGGAGUACCUGCGGAGGGAUCAUUACAGAGUUGCAAAACUCCCUAAACCAUUGUGAACGUUACCUAAACCGCUGCUUCGGCGGGCGGCCCGGGUCCUUCCCGGCGCCCAUCGGCCCUCGCGGGCGCCCGCCGGAGGUAAACCAAACUAUUGCAUUGUAUGGCCUCUCUGAGUCUUCUGUACUGAAUAAGUCAAAACUUUCAACAACGGAUCUCAGAUCGGAAGAG
Molecule: unclassified non-coding RNA, 240 nt
Filed under: soil metagenome
Description: partial contains 5.8S ribosomal RNA, internal transcribed spacer 2, and large subunit ribosomal RNA
Source: RNAcentral